AAAGUAAAGAGUUUAAACUUUUGUUCCUUUACAGCAAAUCAGAUAAGGUCUUCAUUAAUAACUAGGUAGAAGAAGGCAGUAACUUGUUGCGUGCACCACUUGGUGGUGUUAUAUGUUGAUUCACUGGUGGUCGAUAUUCAAGUACCUGAUUGCCCAGUCCGGGCAGAAGCGUGGGACAUCAAGCGCAUAGUGAAAGUUGCAAAAUCUGACAGGAAACCAGAGGGAGGUUACGGCAAGCUGAGACUAAAACAAAGAUUCACGAACAACAAGGCGUAUGGCCUUUUUGUUGGAUAUGAACAGACUGAGAAAUUCGUCUCUUCCAAGUUGCCACCUACAUUUAAAAAAGGCAAGAAGAGGAAGAUUUCAGCAAUGCUCAGCAAGUUAUGCUCAGAAUUUUCAGAAAACAUUGGCACCUUCAUUGAGUACAUUGGCAAACUGGACAGGAUGAGGUUGGCAGCUCAAAGAACAAUCUGAACAAGGCAAAGCGACAAAGGGCUGUAGGUGACCAAGGCACAGCUGUUGAGGAGGCUGAUAAUGAUGGAGGCACCUCGGAGGACGACGAAGAGUACUUGCCUAGCUCAGAGUCAGGGGAAGAUGAAGAAGUAGCAAGCACAGAUGACAGCUCUAUGCAUUUGUCGCCCCAAUACCAGCAGUUCCAAAGCAAAAUAAACUCAGACAAAGUAAAUUGGUUUCAAGGAGCAGGGCUUAUGCAACGACCAAGGAAGGUUCAUCAAGUGGGGCGGAGCCGGCCAAGGAGAGUGCAGAUCAUAGUAAGUAUGAAAGCCACACAAAGACGACAUGCAAGGUAAACCCGAGGGACCACAUGUCAAGCAAUGAAAACAGAGUGCAAAUUUACACAACUGCUAACAUACAUGGGUCAGGGAAAACUGGGCAUAGGAUAUCGAAAAGUGAGACUGAUGACACAACAACCUCGGAAUCAGGCGGCAACCACAUCACAAUCCUUGAUAUCAGCCCAUUAUCAUCAGCCCCACCUAUAAAACAAAGGGAUGAAACCUACUACACUCCUGCAAUCACGGAGUCGUGCCCAGCACCUAGCAGCAAAAACAAAGGGAGGACACCUACUCGAGAUCAAGCAGCACAAUCUGCAUUGCACACGAUCCAGGGAAAACUCUGUUUGGGUCCUUUGGCGAAGCAACAAGCAAUGCUGCGUGCACAAGUUGCAUCACCAAACCUGGGUCCUACAGCACCAUUUCAUGACAACAAACCAGCAGGAGUGACACAUGAUUGUCCAUCGUUCGACUUGAAUAGGAGCUUCCACGAAGACGAGAGCACCAAGAGGGUUGUCUCCGCAUCAAUGAAGCCACGCAACCUAGAUGUUUCUCUAGCAGAAACUGGAGAUGAUUGGGGGCUGGACCUGGACCUCGAGGUGUUGCAGGAAGUGUGUUAUAAGGCAGAAAUGGAGUUUGCAAAGAGAAAAGAAAAGGAAAGGUCGGAGAUGCAGGAGAGGACUGCAAAGCAAAGUCGAUACAGUGAUUAAGAUGUGAAACCCCAGCUCAAACAACAACAACAGCAACAGCAACAGUAGGCAUUGCUAGCUCAUCACGGACACAGCAGCUGCUGCACAUGAAAGGAGAGUUGUAAGGGUGCUAGCGCAACUGAGGUCACCAUACGUCGACCCUCAGAAUGCAGAUCCGUUCUACUGUUCAAAGGAAGUAUGCGACAUAUACGAUGCUGUGUGUCAGCACUCCACACCAAGAACCAGGAGCAAGGGGAAACUAACUGACAACAGUUUUCUAUAUCUUUGCCAAGAACUAUCCUACAGCAAACCAAUUAUAAACUAUGACGAGUUCUUCAUCAGCCGCAAUGAACUCACAAACUCCAUGGCUCCUGAAAAGGAGAUGGACAACCUAGUGGUUGAGACUGCAAUCAUUUCUUCGAGGGGACCAGAAAUAAGACCAAAUAAGAGAAAUAAGGCCAAAGAAGAGAAUAAUGCCACUACGAAUAGCUACAUACUUCCAGAACAACUAUUUCAACAGGAGUGACAUCGACAAACAUUUUGACAACAACACACACAGGCUAAACAGAUGUCAAUCAAUUUCAUUCCCAACACUUGAGAUUCUUGACAAGGAGAAUCCAAAAGAGACGGGGCACUACUGGGUGCUGGUGUUGAACAUUAGGACAAGCGCUUCAAAGUGCUAGAUUCAGCAAGGACACUGAAAGACAAGGCGUUCCUCGCAACAGCAUUGAAGAUCAUUGAUGGGAUUAAAGCAAAUUGGGGGAGGCACUACACCAGCUCAAGCGUGCAGAUUAACGAUUGGGGACUACAAGAAAUCAAAUCCCCUAGACAGGACAACGGAAACAAGGUACUAGACAGUAGGACAAUAUGCAAUUCAAGAGUCAGCAUCCAACCUUUUUUCCAUCUUUUUGCAAUCUAAAAGGAGGUGUACAGGUCUGGAGUAGGAGAUGCAAGAAGAAAGAACAUGUCAGAAGCCAGGGUAUUCGGCCCAAGAGGCAAUUUCUGCUAGUAGAUCAGGUGGUAGGUACAGAUAGGGAAAUCCAACAGUUCUAGAGCGAAGUUCAUGGAGAAUUUGCUGCCAAAACUUGCGUUACCUUCUGUUCUUCACACGGGGCAAACUUUGCCUGCUCUGGAUGGUGUUUUCUUGCACAGUUCCACAGUUUUUUUGCCUGACCAGAAACAGAAGAGUUGCAGUUCUCUGGA
Hordeum vulgare subsp. vulgare (domesticated barley) is the source of this 2680-nucleotide long non-coding RNA. RefSeq lists it as uncharacterized. The transcript is spliced from 8 exons. Lineage: Eukaryota; Viridiplantae; Streptophyta; Magnoliopsida; Poales; Poaceae. The record is from RefSeq and is a predicted model, not a curated record.